GCUCCUAUAGCUCAGAUGGAUAGAGCAGCGCCCUCCUAAGGCGAAGACCCCAGUUCGACUCCGGGUGGGAGCA
Molecule: transfer RNA, 73 nt
Filed under: Turneriella parva DSM 21527
Lineage: Bacteria; Pseudomonadati; Spirochaetota; Leptospiria; Leptospirales; Leptospiraceae
Also listed under: 3 other names
Description: tRNA-Arg (CCT) (tRNA-Arg-CCT-1-1)
Rfam family: tRNA
About the family: Transfer RNA (tRNA) molecules are approximately 80 nucleotides in length. Their secondary structure includes four short double-helical elements and three loops (D, anti-codon, and T loops).
Source: Rfam by way of RNAcentral